Molecule: ribosomal RNA, 424 nt
Filed under: uncultured eukaryote
Lineage: Eukaryota
Description: bacterial SSU rRNA
Rfam family: Eukaryotic small subunit ribosomal RNA
Source: RNAcentral
CAAUAGCGUAUAUUAAAGUUGUUGCGGUUAAAAAGCUCGUAGUUGGAUUUCUGUCUGGCGCGCUCAGUCCACACUACGUGUGAGAAUCUGUUCCGCGUCGGGCAUCUUCCUGAGGAACGGGACUGCUAUUGAUUUAGUGGUCUCGGAACUCUGGACGUUUACUUUGAGGAAAUUAGAGUGUUCCAGGCAUGCAUUUGCAUUGAAUACAUUAGCAUGGAAUAAUGAGAUAGGACUCUUGUGCUAUUUAUUGGUUUGUAGCGUGGGAGUAAUGAUUAAUAGGGAUAGUUGGGGGCGAUUCGUAUUUAACUGUCAGAGGUGAAAUUCUUGGAUUUGUUAAAGACGAACUACUGCGAAAGCAUUUGCCAAGGAUGUUUUCAUUGAUCAAGAACGAAAGUUAGGGGAGUCGAAGAUGAUCAGAUACCAU